This 100-nucleotide non-coding RNA is filed under the name bovine gut metagenome. RNAcentral describes it as "Glycine riboswitch". It matches the Rfam family "Glycine riboswitch aptamer", at positions 10 to 85 of the family's 94-position model. From Rfam's summary of the family: This family represents the bacterial glycine riboswitch. The record is from RNAcentral.
UUUGGAGAAGCUGUUUUUGCCAGCCGAUGUUCGUCGGCGGGCAGAGCAGUGCCGAAGGUGAAAGCGCAGUGCGUGAAUCUCUCAGGCAAAAGGACAAAGU